UGGGGAAUAUUGGACAAUGGGCGAAAGCCUGAUCCAGCCAUGCCGCGUGUGUGAAGAAGGCCUUUUGGUUGUAAAGCACUUUAAGCGAGGAGGAGGCUACUUAGAUUAAUACUCUAGGAUAGUGGACGUUACUCGCAGAAUAAGCACCGGCUAACUCUGUGCCAGCAGCCGCGGUAAUACAGAGGGUGCGAGCGUUAAUCGGAUUUACUGGGCGUAAAGCGUGCGUAGGCGGCUUUUUAAGUCGGAUGUGAAAGCACUGAGCUUAACUUAGGAAUUGCAUUCGAUACUGGGAAGCUAGAGUAUGGGAGAGGAUGGUAGAAUUCCAGGUGUAGCGGUGAAAUGCGUAGAGAUCUGGAGGAAUACCGAUGGCGAAGGCAGCCAUCUGGCCUAAUACUGACGCUGAGGUACGAAAGCAUGGGGAGCAAACAGG
This 430-nucleotide ribosomal RNA is filed under the name bacterium. RNAcentral describes it as "partial 16S ribosomal RNA". It matches the Rfam family "Bacterial small subunit ribosomal RNA", at positions 355 to 776 of the family's 1533-position model. The record is from RNAcentral.